Molecule: non-coding RNA, 308 nt
Organism: Benincasa hispida (wax gourd)
Lineage: Eukaryota; Viridiplantae; Streptophyta; Magnoliopsida; Cucurbitales; Cucurbitaceae
Source: RefSeq, a predicted model, not a curated record
CCAUUUUAGGGAUUGGCGACUUACCCAUUCAGUGACUUUGGCACUGGACGUUCCAAAAAUGGGGUACUAUCGGGUCGGGUGAAUUCAAUAAUAGAGGCCUGUUGGCAUUCCAGCCUUCCUUCUCCUUUCAGGGCCUACCCGAAAGAGAAUCAGUGUUUCUUGGUCGUGAAUAUCUAAAUAGGACGAACCGCCCCGUGGUUUGCUUCGGAACAAAACAAUUAGAAUUAGGCUCGUUGAACUGGAAUGUGUAUUAUCCAUAUAGGGGAUCUUUCAAUGGAGAAGAUCCGUCGACCUAAGACGAAGAGAGG